RNAcentral lists this ribosomal RNA (243 nucleotides) under uncultured bacterium. Its description in RNAcentral is "partial 16S ribosomal RNA". It matches the Rfam family "Bacterial small subunit ribosomal RNA", at positions 15 to 255 of the family's 1533-position model. The record is from RNAcentral.
GAUCCUGGCUCAGGAUGAACGCUAGCGACAGGCUUAACACAUGCAAGUCGAGGGGCAUCAUGAGGUAGCAAUACCUUGAUGGCGACCGGCGCACGGGUGAGUAACGCGUAUGCAACCUGCCCGAUACCGGGGUAUAGCCCAUGGAAACGUGGAUUAACACCCCAUAGUACUUUAUCCUGCCUGGGAUGGGAGUUAAAUGUUCAAGGUAUCGGAUGGGCAUGCGUCCUAUUAGUUAGUUGCGGG